CCUACGGGAGGCAGCAGUGGGGAAUUUUGGACAAUGGGCGCAAGCCUGAUCCAGCAAUGCCGCGUGAGUGAAGAAGGCCUUCGGGUUGUAAAGCUCUUUUGUCAGGGAAGAAACGGCUGAGGCUAAUAUCCUCGGCUAAUGACGGUACCUGAAGAAUAAGCACCGGCUAACUACGUGCCAGCAGCCGCGGUAAUACGUAGGGUGCAAGCGUUAAUCGGAAUUACUGGGCGUAAAGCGUGCGCAGGCGGUUUUGUAAGUCUGUCGUGAAAGCCCCGGGCUUAACCUGGGAAUUGCGAUGGAGACUGCAAGGCUUGAAUCUGGCAGAGGGGGGUAGAAUUCCACGUGUAGCAGUGAAAUGCGUAGAGAUGUGGAGGAACACCGAUGGCGAAGGCAGCCCCCUGGGUCAAGAUUGACGCUCAUGCACGAAAGCGUGGGGAGCAAACAGGAUUAGAUACCCUGGUAGUCCACGCCCUAAACGAUGUCUACUAGUUGUCGGGUCUUAAUUGACUUGGUAACGCAGCUAACGCGUGAAGUAGACCGCCUGGGGAGUACGGUCGCAGAUAAACUCAAAGGAUUGACGG
This 581-nucleotide ribosomal RNA is filed under the name uncultured bacterium. RNAcentral's name for it is "bacterial SSU rRNA". It matches the Rfam family "Bacterial small subunit ribosomal RNA", at positions 338 to 916 of the family's 1533-position model. The record is from RNAcentral.